Molecule: non-coding RNA, 774 nt
Organism: Macaca mulatta (Rhesus monkey)
Lineage: Eukaryota; Metazoa; Chordata; Mammalia; Primates; Cercopithecidae
Source: RefSeq, a predicted model, not a curated record
CAGGGACACUGAUCAAUGAGAGAAGAAGAGCAUUUCUGGGAAAGGCAGAAGCUCCUGAGACCCUAGAAUUCGCCGUCAAGGCACCGAAGACUCAUUCACAUACCCCAGAAUGGGUAGAAGAGAGGAAGGGAAACAGAGAUGAGAGGGAGCUGAAGGCAAACUUCACCCAACUUGCCAUUUUGUAAAGGUCUGAAGCAUAAGAGACACACAUGAAGAAGGCUAUUGAUGUCCAGAAGCAGCUGGGAGAUUCUAAACCAGGGGCCAGGAACUUUUCCUCCAAAAGUAUAAAAAUAUGCAUGGCGUGCUCAUUGUGUGCCUGGCUACCACAAGCUGAGGAUGCAAAGACCAACUGAACGCCACCGUUGCUCUCAGGGAGAUGUGUCAUGAAAGAAGAGUGUUGUCACACCUGUAGUAAAAGAUAAGCCAGAGCUUUGCCCAGAGAGGCAGGCGAACAUGGGGGAGGGAGGAUGGAAGUCUUUGACCCUUUGCACGCACACCCUGCACACCCGGCCAGAAGUGGGCAGACAUUCCCAGAUAUACCCUGCUCCUCACGCCCCUCGAUGAGUUAAAAGUUGUAUCCAUCUCAAGAAGCCUAACCCAAACCUUUAUGUGUCUUUCUUCUCCUGUGAAGCACCUGGUGUGUUGAAUCCCAAUAAAGCAUCCUCUGUACUUCCCAGUCCAGCCUUUUAUCAUGGGGCAAAUGAGAUUAGAGGUGGCAAAAGGAUGCUGAUUCCAAGGAAAACAAAAACCAAUAAAGAAAAUCAUCUAAGAAAA